This is a long non-coding RNA of Macrobrachium nipponense, 1561 nucleotides long. RefSeq lists it as uncharacterized. The record is from RefSeq and is a predicted model, not a curated record. The transcript has 8 exons. NCBI's taxonomy places the organism in Eukaryota, Metazoa, Arthropoda, Malacostraca, Decapoda, Palaemonidae.
UUACUCAUCUGGAGAGAGCCUUGGCUUCUUUUGAGGCAGAAGACCCUAACGUUUCUAGGUUUGACAAAAUCAAAGAGAGGAAUCAUGGAUUUGGUGACUUUCUACAAGGAGACCCUGAAGGAGAAGCAGACGAAGAGAAGUGUGCAGUCCAGGCUUGACACUUUCUUUCACAAGUCUCCAGUACCACCACCUCCCACUCCUAGUCCUGGUAAGGAAUUCUGAACUGUUUUACUAAUUUAUGUGUUUACAUAGUGUACAUAGUAUUAAAAUGUGUUAAUUUUUUAAUGUAACAACUACUAAAUGUAAGAGUAAAUUGUAACUUCAUUAAUUUUCAUCAUUUGUAAUUUUAUUGCAGAAGUGGUGACAGUUCCAGAUCCCCCUGUACUACCUGUGACAGUUCCAGAUCUCCCUGUACUACCUGUGACAGUUCCAGAUCCCCCUGUACCUGGACCCUCUGUAUCAGCCCGCCCACCUGCACGUGUACAAUCAGACCCCUUUGAUAGUGACAGUGACCCAGAUGACCCUGAGCCUUUCCAUGGUUUUGAUGCCUCGCCCUAUACAUCAGAUGUAGAUGUUCCCUCAUCAGUUGAUACAAGUAUCACCUCCCCAGAGCCCAAAUCAGUUGAUACGAGUAUCACCUCUCCCAUUCCUUCAGACUCCCAAGCACCUGCCCAUCCCACUCCAUAGCCCAGCCACCCACUCUCAUGUACCAUAUGACCAUCCCAGUAAGCAAGCCAACCACUAGCAUUUGACUGGCAUGCACCUGUGACUUACAUAAACCAGACCUCUACAUAGCCUACAUGUCUUCAUUUUGCUGGAGACUGCCCAUCAUCCUAGCCUGUUAUCUGUGAUAAAGCACACUGAAGUUAGGUUUGGAAUGCAUCCUUAACAUGAAUGCUCUACACCUCCACCUCCAUCUCCCACAACCUAGGUAACAGCUUUGAGACUCACUAAAAGUUGAACCCCCUGAAUGAUGUAGGCUAUGGGGCCACAUAAGACUUUGUCCAUCCAGGGUUACGAUGAAUGUAAAAUAUAAACUAAAGAACCAACAUUUUUCACACAACUCCAGGUUGUUACUACAAGUGUCAUCAAGGGAUAACUACAAGUAGAAGCACCAUUUUUGGAUGGAAAAAACCCUUCAGGAAAGUAUACGUAUCACAUGUACAUAACAUGUAGUGUAACAAAGUAUGAACAGUAAGGUUUUUACAUACAGUAGUACAUAUUACAUACGUACAUAACUUUUUUUUACAGAAAACCAGGACCCCCUCCAUGAUGCAGGCUAUGGGGCCACAUAAAACUUUGUCCAGGGUUACUACAUAACAUAGCACGACAACUGUAAACUAUGUACGUACUACGUACUGUACUAAAGGUAAGGAAUUAUACAUAGUAUAGUAAACAUACAUUAAGUGACCAAGAUCUCUCACAUGGGAUAAGUGAUCAAGGUCCCUCAUGGAAUUACAUACUGUACACUCCCUGCUGAACAGGGGGUGUAGACCAAUCAUUUACAAUAUGCAAUAUUAAACCACUGUAUGGUGCAUAUUACUGUAUGUAACUUACUAUG